CACUUCCCCGCGCCCCUUCCGGGAUUCAGCACAGUGAUUGCUGGCUGGUUUUUUCCUUGCUUGAUACCCAUCCUGAGCUGUUUAUGUCCUUGUGCCUCUCUUCACAAACCUGCUGGUCUCCCUCUGCCACCUGGGAUGCAGUGCAGUGGCCUGACCACAGGUUCAAGGAAAAGUUAGUGGAAGCCGUUAUCCAUGUCAACAUUGAACCAGAAGAGCAUGAUUUGCAAGAGGAACUGCUACACAUUUUACACUUAUUUACUCCAACCUUUCCUGCUAAUUCCAGGUUUAUUGUAAAACCACUGAUCCCUUCAUUUGAGCUCGACUUCCCUGCACUUAGUUUUGAAUUUUUCCCCUGUCCAAUAGUAAGACACACACACAGAGAAGAACAACAAGAACAAGAAGAGAAUUGCAAUGAUGUGAAAACACGAUAACACAUGUAGAGCAGAGCACUGUGCACCAGUUACUAAUGCCAGAAGAGGACUCUCACUAUAUGGAGGGUAAUGAAGAUCAUCACAAUACCAGCCACCAGGAAUAGAAGUCCAGAUACUUCUGCCCACUGUCUGAGAAGACAGAAUGACUGAUGACAGAAGCACCUGCGAUCUUCUUCUUGUGCUGUGGGCUUCAGGGGAAUCCAAGAGUUCCUGGCAAAGAGGAUCUAAUGAAGACUGACAUUGAUCAAUAAAGGCAUGGGGUUAAAAGAGCAACAAUAAGAAUACCUUAAAGUUGUACUCAGAAGAUAGGAGCUAUCUCUGCUUCCUUUCAGAAACAUCAUUAUUACCUUGAAUCAGAGCCUGCCAGAAGCAUUUUGCACAACAAUUGUAAGAAGAGACUGAAACUUCAGAAACACUUUUAGAUCUGCAUUUCCAAACAACAACCAAAACUGCUGGAUGCAAGGUGGCUGCUUACACUACAGACCUGUUACAUAUAUUCCAACCCCAUAAUGCUAGGGGUUUACAAGGAUAAUAUUUGUGAACUUUCACAUUCUAUGUAGCGGUCACAAUGAAGUCCUCUAAAGAUCUCGAUGGAAAGUUCAAGACAAAAUCAGUUUAAGAAUUUAGAAAAUCUUAUCGCUUCUCGGCCUUUUGGCUAAGAUCAAAUGAAGAAUUUAGAAAAUCUUGGGACUUCUUUAUUCCAUCUGUGCAUACGCCAUUUGAAUUUGAAAACAUUUUGAGGACUGUUUGAUGUGAAGUCUGAGCUGACACUAACAUCAGAGACAUGAAAUGCCAUUUUCAUCUUCUUAGUAGAGAGGGAACUUAUGAAGG
Molecule: long non-coding RNA, 1262 nt
Filed under: Homo sapiens (human)
Lineage: Eukaryota; Metazoa; Chordata; Mammalia; Primates; Hominidae
Description: HSALNT0031933
Source: RNAcentral